RNAcentral lists this ribosomal RNA (497 nucleotides) under uncultured bacterium. RNAcentral describes it as "bacterial SSU rRNA". It matches the Rfam family "Bacterial small subunit ribosomal RNA", at positions 8 to 526 of the family's 1533-position model. The record is from RNAcentral.
AGAGUUUGAUCAUGGCUCAGAACGAACGCUGGCGGCAUGCCUAACACAUGCAAGUCGAACGAAGGCUUCGGCCUUAGUGGCGCACGGGUGCGUAACGCGUGGGAAUCUGCCCUUGGGUACGGAAUAACAGUUAGAAAUGACUGCUAAUACCGUAUAAUGACUUCGGUCCAAAGAUUUAUCGCCCAGGGAUGAGCCCGCGUCGGAUUAGCUAGUUGGUGAGGUAAAGGCUCACCAAGGCGACGAUCCGUAGCUGGUCUGAGAGGAUGAUCAGCCACACUGGGACUGAGACACGGCCCAGACUCCUACGGGAGGCAGCAGUGGGGAAUUUUGGACAAUGGGGGCAACCCUGAUCCAGCCAUGCCGCGUGCGGGAAGAAGGCCUUCGGGUUGUAAACCGCUUUUAGUCGGGAAGAAAAGGCCAGACCGAAUAAGUCUGGUUCUUGACGGUACCGGCGGAAUAAGCACCGGCUAACUACGUGCCAGCAGCGGCGGUAAUAC